Long non-coding RNA from Chelonoidis abingdonii (Abingdon island giant tortoise), 2070 nucleotides. RefSeq lists it as uncharacterized. NCBI's taxonomy places the organism in Eukaryota, Metazoa, Chordata, Testudines, Testudinidae. The record is from RefSeq and is a predicted model, not a curated record.
CAAGGAAUGUCCCUGUGGGUGGCUCCACUUUUAGGUGAUUAUGCAGCAGUACCCAGGGCCGGCUUUAGGAAAUGCGGGGCCUGAUUCGAAUAGUUUCAACGGGGCCCCAGCUGAGAUGACUCACCUAGCGGCGCUCUGUGUCUUCGCUCCGGGUCUUCCAUGGCACUGAAGGACCCGCUGUCAAAACACUGCUGAAGACCUGGAGCGAGUGAAGGACCUGACGCUGAAGUGCCACCCAAGACCCAGAGCACUGCCGGAACGUGAGUGCUCUAAUGUCCAAUACGUGAAGAGAUGCUUCCCUGCUGACAGCAUGCGGCUUCAGGAAGAAUACAGGUGUAUGUCUUCCAGAGCUGCUGUUACUUCAUUCCCUGAACUAGCUUUCUUCAUCCAGACCUCCGCACCACCUCUGCAGCCCCACCCAAUUGCCCCAUUACCACUGAACACUCCGAAGAAGAAUUCAAGAGCCAGAAGGUACUACCCAGAGACACCUGGUGAAAACACAUCAUUGAAUGCAGGAGCAUGUCACAAUAUCAAAACAGUAACAAGCGUGGACUGCAGAAGCAGCUGGCAUCGGGAUACAGAGAUUUAAUUUAAAAGGUAUGUCUCACAAAAGGGCCCCAAGGGUGAGGUACUGAUGUGUUUUGGAGAAGAUGGUGACAAGUCUAGGAUGGGGAGGAAGAUUCAGUCUUCAAACUGAGUCCAACACUAGUUAUUUACAUACCCAAGGAUAAUGCAAUAACUGGAAUGAUUUUAAAAAGAAAUACCAUUCAAUGAAAAUGUCCUGCAGACAGCAGGUUGACGUCACUCAAAUUUAGUACAUAAGUCAGACAUUUUGUGGGAAGCCUCCAGAUCUCACAAGAAACAGCAAAUCUCUAAAAUGGUUUUAGCAUGGUGGCUGAAAUUUUUACCUUGUGACUAGGCAUUUUAUCAUUCCUCUGCUCUAACUUUGAAAUAAAGCACAUUCCCCUUCUUGUCCCAAAAAUGUAGUUUUCUGCUAUUGCUAUUUUAAAUACAGUUUGGCACUGCCGUGUAAUAUCCACACUACAGAUUGUGGAAAACUACUGUAUUUUCAACAGCUAAAUAUUUAUGUAUACAAGUGAAGCACUAGUUCAAUACAAAGCACAUUCUGAGUAAAAUUGAACUCUAAUGCAGAAGAGGACAUAGAUUUUAUAUUUAAUAAUAUGAUUUUUGAUGUGUCUAAUUACAGCCAUGCAUAUUCUGCAGUAAGCUGGAUCGGUCUGGAUUGUGAAUUUUGCCACAGCAGACUGGAAAUUCAGUGGUAGCUUUCCACAUAAAUAAAUAAAAAUGAAGAUCCUGAAUCCAUAAAUUAUGAAAAUGAGUAAUACCAUCAGUACAGUGGCCCAUGUGUUAUUUAUUUUGCUAUUAAAUUCUCCAUGUGAGAUAUGAAAGUCUGUUAAGAGAUCAAACAGCAGCAGUGAAACACAGUUAAGAGUGUUAACAUUUGAACUGUCAUCUUUUAGGUUUCAAAAUCAACCCUCCACUGGAAUGAAUGGGAAGUUCACACAUCUCCCAGAAAUAACUGCAGGUUGCCUGCAGAUUUAGGAGGCCAUCACCAUACAAUAUGAUAACAAAUUAGGGAUAAGUAAGACCAGUAGGUUGCAGAGUCUAACACCUUUCACUGAAAAUGCCCUACAACAAGCCCCCUACUAUUUAACUCAGGGUCUAUAAACUUGAGCUCCUCAGAUGAUUACAAUUGCCAAGGGAUCACAUUAAGAAAGAGACAACCUUCAAAGAAGUAGGACUCAAACCAUUUAGGGCAUUAUAUGUCAAAAAUACCAGCUAACUUCUCACAGAAACCAAACGAAAACCAAUGCAGACCAUGGGUAUAGCAGCAGAUUCUGCACAAGCAGAACAUAUCUUAUGUCAGCUCAGUCUCAGCCAGCUAGCUCAUAUUCAAACCCUGUUCCUGGCUAUACACUGGAAAAAGUCACUCAUCUGCACCAUAGGUCUCCAGUGAAAUGGAGGCAGCUCUGAAGGCACAUUUCAGUAUUAAUGAAAUCCUCUCCACACAAAGGUCUAUCAAAAGGCUUACGCACCACGUAAGCCCUA